This 432-nucleotide ribosomal RNA is filed under the name uncultured Burkholderia sp. RNAcentral describes it as "bacterial SSU rRNA". It matches the Rfam family "Bacterial small subunit ribosomal RNA", at positions 72 to 501 of the family's 1533-position model. The record is from RNAcentral. Lineage: Bacteria; Pseudomonadati; Pseudomonadota; Betaproteobacteria; Burkholderiales; Burkholderiaceae.
CGCGGGGCAACCUGGCGGCGAGUGGCGAACGGGUGAGUAAUACAUCGGAACGUGCCCAAUCGUGGGGGAUAACGCAGCGAAAGCUGUGCUAGUACCACAUACGAUCUACGGAUGAAAGCGAGGGGACCGCAAGGCCUUGCGCGAAUGGAGCGGCCGAUGGCAGAUUAGGUAGUUGGUGGGGUAAAAGCCUACCAAGGCCACGAUCAGUAGCUGGUCUGAGAGGACGACCAGCCACACUGGGACUGAGACACGGCCCAGACUCCUACGGGAGGCAGCAGUGGGGAAUUUUGGACAAUGGGGGCAACCCUGAUCCAGCAAUGCCGCGUGUGUGAAGAAGGCCUUCGGGUUGUAAAGCACUUUUGUCCGGAAAGAAAUCCCUUGGGUGAAUACCUCAGGGGGAUGACGGUACCGGAAGAAUCAGCACCGGCUAAC